GGCCGUUGCUCGUGGCUGCAGGUCGAGGAAUAUUCUAAUUUUUGCCUCGCAAUUACGCGGCGAUAUGGACACAUUUCGAAGGAAGGAGGAAUUGCACCUGGCACGGGAAGAGCCCGUCAUUCUUUUGUUUCCCUCGAGACUGACGAGUAUGUCAGAAAUGGGUCACUUGCUGCAAACAGUCCGAAAUCAAUGCCAAUUUUAAAACUCGCGGAGUGGCAUACUUGAAGGAG
Long non-coding RNA from Ixodes scapularis (black-legged tick), 230 nucleotides. RefSeq lists it as uncharacterized. The transcript has 3 exons. The record is from RefSeq and is a predicted model, not a curated record. Lineage: Eukaryota; Metazoa; Arthropoda; Arachnida; Ixodida; Ixodidae.